Molecule: long non-coding RNA, 270 nt
Filed under: Elaeis guineensis (African oil palm)
Lineage: Eukaryota; Viridiplantae; Streptophyta; Magnoliopsida; Arecales; Arecaceae
Description: long non-coding RNA (EGUI_LNC053780)
Source: RNAcentral
UCUACUCCACCCCCCCUUUUUUCGUUCGUCUUCUCCACUGCCAGCCUCUACACCGUCCACCCUAACAUUGAUCUAUAGUCCUAUUGUGAGGCCUUAGCUCUAACUCUAAUCCUGCGGUUGAUCCUCAUUAUUUUUUUCUCUAUUUUCAGUCGUCUUCUCCAAUCCAAGCUCCCCUAUGGCUGAAACCCUAACACUAACCUACAACCGUAACCCUAACCCUGACUUGACCCUGAUCGGACCCUGACCCUGACACUAUUCCUAACCCUAUCC